ACUUCUAGCAUUAAAGUAGCCAGUUUAUCAACUAUUAUCAUCUCUGGUUACUUCUUUCCGUUUUUGUCACUCAGUGAAUCAGGUUUUUGACGUCAAAAACUCAACUCUGCUGCAGACACUGUACAAUUGAGAGCAAACGCACUCGUUGGGAUGACCGUAUACAACUAUGUGGCGAUGAGCACUUAAAAGUUGAGACUUACAUUCGAUGAGACUUCGAUGGAAUUGUAAAUCUGAAUAAAUGAAUUGUAAGAAUCCUUUCUGAAAGCUGUUCUACUAACAAAUAUAUUUGAAAAAUUUAAUCAUCUGUAAUUAAAUUUGGUACUUGCCCAUCUAGAAGAAGAUCGCCGAUGCACACGCAUGUGUCCUCUGACGUCAGCACCAGCUUAUUAGUGAUCAGCAAACUGCAGUGUUAAAGUUGAGCUAAGUUUCUCCACAUAAGUUAGAAUGUUAAUUAAACAGAAGUUAAUUAAAUACAACGCUGUAUUGCACAUCGAAUUUUCAACCAAAUAGAAUUGUUCUCGUCUACGUCUUUUAUUUAACUUAGUAUUUGUUUACGCAUUUUAUUAUAACUGUGAUAAAUUUUUGUUUUUUAGACUUCGCAUAUUUAAUGUAUUUUUAUGUACUUCAUUUCAUGUACUUUUGUGUAUACUAGCAACUGCGAUGCAUCUUUGUUUAUGUUCUAUACGGCUUCAUGCCUGUCUUUGUGUUAAUUUUUCGUGUAAAUACCUAAUAAAAGAAUACAAAUGUUUGUGAAAAAAUA
Parasteatoda tepidariorum (common house spider) is the source of this 760-nucleotide long non-coding RNA. NCBI's taxonomy places the organism in Eukaryota, Metazoa, Arthropoda, Arachnida, Araneae, Theridiidae. The record is from RefSeq and is a predicted model, not a curated record.